GAGGUUGUGACUCAGUGGUAGAGCACUUGCCUCACCGCAUGAGGUACUGGGUUCGAUCCUCAGCACCACA
Molecule: transfer RNA, 70 nt
Filed under: Marmota monax (woodchuck)
Lineage: Eukaryota; Metazoa; Chordata; Mammalia; Rodentia; Sciuridae
Description: tRNA.Undet
Source: RNAcentral